GAUGAAGAACGUAGCGAAAUGCGAUAAGUAAUGUGAAUUGCAGAAUUCAGUGAAUCAUCGAAUCUUUGAACGCACAUUGCGCCCGCCAGUAUUCUGGCGGGCAUGCCUGUUCGAGCGUCAUUUCAACCCUCAGGCCCCCAGUGCCUGGCGUUGGGGAUCGGCGUGGGCGGCGACGGCUCUCCGGAGCCCGAACCAAUGCCUGCCGGCCCCGAAAUUCAGUGGCGGUCUCGCUGUAGUCCUCCUCUGCGUAGUAGCACAACCUCGCAGUUGGAACGCGGCGGUGGCCAUGCCGUUAAACACCCCACUUCUGAAAGUUGACCUCGGAUCAGGUAGGAAUACCCGCUGAACUUAAGCAUAUCAAUAAGCGGAGGA
This 372-nucleotide unclassified non-coding RNA is filed under the name soil metagenome. Its description in RNAcentral is "partial contains 5.8S ribosomal RNA, internal transcribed spacer 2, and large subunit ribosomal RNA". The stretch from base 1 to 120 matches the Rfam family "5.8S ribosomal RNA", at positions 35 to 154 of the family's 154-position model. The record is from RNAcentral.